GUGUGAGCAUGCAUGGCUGUCGCUGACUUGAAACACAAAGGUCGUGCACGCCAGAGUGUGUCCUCUCACAUAAAAUCCAUCUCACCCUUUUUGUGCACCACCGCGUGGGCUCCCUUUGGGAUCAAACCAAUCCAGGAGGGGGCUCGCGUUUUCACCACAAACCCCUUUUUAAAAGUGUAGAAUGACCCUGUCUUUGCGAUAACACGCAAUCAAUACAACUUUCAACAACGGAUCUCUUGGCUCUCGCAUCGAUGAAGAAUGCAGCGAAAUGCGAUACGUAAUGUGAAUUGCAGAAUUCAGUGAAUCAUCGAAUCUUUGAACGCACCUUGCGCCCCUCGGUAUUCCGAGGGGCACACCCGUUUGAGUGUCGUGAAAAUCUCAACCUUCUUGGUUAUGCCAAAGAAGGCUUGGACUUUGGAGGCCUUUGCUGGUGUUUCUCUCUUUCAGAAGCCAGCUCCUCUUAAAUGAAUUAGUGGGGUCCUCUUUGCUGAUCCUUGACGUGUGAUAAGAUGUUUCCAUGUCUUGGUUUCUGGCUCUGUCACUUUUGGGACCCGCUUCUAACCGUCUUGACCUUGCACCGAGACAAUGUUUGAGUGUGUCUCCCUUCUCGGGAAGUGCUCUCAAUCCCACAAACCCUUGGACUCAAAUCGGGUGAGACUACCGUGACUUA
Molecule: ribosomal RNA, 670 nt
Filed under: uncultured Lactarius
Lineage: Eukaryota; Fungi; Basidiomycota; Agaricomycetes; Russulales; Russulaceae
Description: eukaryotic LSU rRNA
Rfam family: 5.8S ribosomal RNA (bases 217-370)
Source: RNAcentral